UAUGUUUAGUUAUAGAACCACGU
RNAcentral lists this microRNA (23 nucleotides) under Haemonchus contortus (barber pole worm). Its description in RNAcentral is "hco-miR-5977". The record is from miRBase by way of RNAcentral. Lineage: Eukaryota; Metazoa; Nematoda; Chromadorea; Rhabditida; Trichostrongylidae.